This 92-nucleotide transfer RNA is filed under the name Desulfobacca sp. Its description in RNAcentral is "tRNA-Ser". It matches the Rfam family "tRNA". Rfam says of the family: Transfer RNA (tRNA) molecules are approximately 80 nucleotides in length. Their secondary structure includes four short double-helical elements and three loops (D, anti-codon, and T loops). RNAcentral also lists the same sequence under 1 other name. Lineage: Bacteria; Pseudomonadati; Thermodesulfobacteriota; Desulfobaccia; Desulfobaccales; Desulfobaccaceae. The record is from RNAcentral.
GGAGAGGUGGCAGAGUGGUUGAAUGCGGCGGUCUCGAAAACCGUUAGUCCGGGUUUCCGGGCUCGGGGGUUCGAAUCCCCCCCUCUCCGCCA